This 409-nucleotide ribosomal RNA is filed under the name uncultured Roseobacter sp. Its description in RNAcentral is "bacterial SSU rRNA". It matches the Rfam family "Bacterial small subunit ribosomal RNA", at positions 1101 to 1533 of the family's 1533-position model. Lineage: Bacteria; Pseudomonadati; Pseudomonadota; Alphaproteobacteria; Rhodobacterales; Roseobacteraceae. The record is from RNAcentral.
ACCCACAUCUUUAGUUGCCAGCAGGUUAAGCUGGGCACUCUAGAGAAACUGCCCGUGAUAAGCGGGAGGAAGGUGUGGAUGACGUCAAGUCCUCAUGGCCCUUACGGGUUGGGCUACACACGUGCUACAAUGGCAGUGACAAUGGGUUAAUCCCAAAAAGCUGUCUCAGUUCGGAUUGGGGUCUGCAACUCGACCCCAUGAAGUCGGAAUCGCUAGUAAUCGCGUAACAGCAUGACGCGGUGAAUACGUUCCCGGGCCUUGUACACACCGCCCGUCACACCAUGGGAGUUGGUUCUACCCGACGACGCUGCGCUAACCCUUCGGGGAGGCAGGCGGCCCCGGUAGGAUCAGCGACUGGGGUGAAGUCGUAACAAGGUAGCCGUAAUCGAAUUUCCCGCGGCCGCCAAAR